Non-coding RNA from Amphimedon queenslandica, 72 nucleotides. Lineage: Eukaryota; Metazoa; Porifera; Demospongiae; Haplosclerida; Niphatidae. The record is from the annotation of a RefSeq genome assembly.
UCUAUAAUAGCUUAGCGGUAGAGCAUUUGAUUGUUAAUGAAGGCGUCAACAGUUAGAAUCUGAAAUGCAGAG